RNAcentral lists this long non-coding RNA (387 nucleotides) under Polistes fuscatus (common paper wasp). RNAcentral describes it as "uncharacterized LOC122513651". The record is from RNAcentral. Lineage: Eukaryota; Metazoa; Arthropoda; Insecta; Hymenoptera; Vespidae.
CCAGUAUGAAGAAUCUUACAAAAUUAUUAGCGGACUUUCUACAUCGUGUUCCAAUGGAACGCUUAAAUGGAGCAGAGACUGGAGGUUAUUACUAGAAGGAUUAGUUCAAGUUCAUAUUAUCAGCAGUAGGAAUAAAAAUAUGUUGGUACCGAGUAGGAUACAGAAACUCGUCAUCGACAUGGAAAAAUUAACAGAAAAAAUCAAAGGAAACUAUGCUUUACCGAUGAAGUUUGAAAAACGGGCAAACGUAAUUGCUUGCCCCGGAAUUGCAAUGAGUGGAAUCCAAUUUAAAUAAAUAAUAUUUAAAAACAGGAAUUGGAAAAUUGUCGCGGAUGAACUUCGGUUUAUCCAGAAUAUCAAUAAAACAAAGAUGGAUAUCGACGACGU